This 41159-nucleotide long non-coding RNA is filed under the name Triticum aestivum (bread wheat). RNAcentral's name for it is "long non-coding RNA (TAES_LNC016956)". Lineage: Eukaryota; Viridiplantae; Streptophyta; Magnoliopsida; Poales; Poaceae. The record is from RNAcentral.
AAGCUUGUACCAACUAUCGACGGUUCAAACAUCAUUGGAGCUAUAGGCAGGUGAUAGUGUUGCUUGACACAGAACAAUGAGCCAACCAUUAACAUAGAACAACACCCUAAUUACCUAAGCCUCGCCAGGCACCUCGCUUCCAGGCUGGGUACGAGUUGUCCUACCUGUUGUUACUAGCUUGUUCCUGAAAGUGCAGCACUCAACAGAGUAGACGAUGAUGAGGAAUACGAUUUUGACGGUGGUGAUCUUAUUCCUGUCAUUCUUCAGGUUAGUGGGCUUGCCAGCCUUGCAUGAUUGGCAGUCGUAGCACAGGGCCCUCUGAUCAUUCGACCACAGUGUUGCAGUCAGGGUCAUUGGUAGACAGGUAGAGUUGAAGCCACGAGGUUUGAUCCAGACAGUCUGACUCCGGUAAGUGAAAUUGCACCCAGCUGGGGGCUUGUGGCAUCCAGAUAGAACACAAGAUAGGUGUGUGUUAGCUGCAGAAAACACAACUUAGUAAUUCAGCAUAGCAUUGAUGAAAACACAAGUCAAAGCCAAAUGUCAAGAAGUCGCACUGACGAUGUAGGCAAGGCCGGUGGACCAAACGCGAUAAACUAACCUCAACAGCUAGAAUAACCGGAAGGAAAUUCGCCAUCGACAACGGCAUGGAUAAUACCCUCGGAAUACGGAGAAUAGGGGGGGCUUACUUGCCAUGUCGGCGUCGUUGCCACCACCAACGACGCUUGACCAAAGAAGACUUUUGUAAGCGCUGACACCAUCGCCGCUGGAAAGGCCAAAGCGUUCGACAUGAAAAAAUCUGCCUCAAAUCAAAAAUCAAAAAAGUUUGGAGAGUGAUGGUUGGGGAAGGGAAGCAAUUUGCUCCAUGAUUGAUUUGUAAAUACUUCUUUUUUGUAUUAAUGAAAAUCUAUUUUGAAAUGUAUGGUAUUUUAGAAAAUAUUAUAAUUAAUAAUAGUUUUAUGAUAAAAAAAACUUCUGUAACAUAAGGAACAAAUUUCAAGGAUAGACUGAACAUUUCAGCUAGUCAAUGAAUGUGGACUCCCUUUCAGUCAAGGUAGCUAAAAAAUACAACUAAUUCAGUGGACUGCCUUUUGCUAUAUCAUUGUCAUUGUACUAAACAUCUUCAGACAAUCAAUAGGUGCACUCUUAUUGUAACACAUGAUACACUUUAGAUGUUGAUAUUGUGUCACAACAUGAUUCAACCAUUGAUCUUAAUGAAAUGGAGUCUACAGAGAACAAGAGGUGGUAUAUUGGCUUCAAAAUAUUUUGACACAACCUAAUGAAAUUAAUUUAUUGUAUAUUCUGUCUUUAAUCAGAAUAUCUAGCCAAGUACAACAAUCUCACCUUGUUGGUGUUGAUGUACAAUCUCGCCAAGAGUCCUAUAGUUCAUUUAAAAAAAGUGUAUAGCAAGUUAAGUUAAUAACUCAUCUUAAGUUCUACACCUACACUCCAUCCACCAUGUCGCUGAGUUGUUACCGCGUUUACCUCUUCCUACGUCCCUUCCUAACUCAUAUAUAUUGCUCCUGUCCGAUGUGGUCUACACAAGCAGCUAAAGAAGCUAGCCACCAUUUCUAUGUUGUUGAAGUUGUGUUCCGGCGAAAUAUGGAACACACGGCAUUAGAUUUGGAAGGCAUUAGGAAAAGAACAACUUGUGAGUGCUUGAGGCGUGGUGAUCACCUAGUCUGCAACAUUGGUCUUCGGUGAAAGCAUGAUCCUAAAUCUGAUGGGGCUAAUAGUCCCAGGCGGAGGGAGUAAUUCACUUGCUCAAUUGGCAUGCAAUGAUUCUGUCUCAACCCAACUCACCGUGCACUUGAAGAAAGGAGGCAUGGUUACCAGGUGGAUGUUCCUUUGAGGAAAGUAAGACAUGGUCUCCAUGAUGAUCAUGGAAACAGCCAGAUUCAACCUUGCCAUGUGCAAAGCGGUGAAGAAUAUAUAUCUGGAUUCUCUCUUGUUCUUCAUGGAGGUCCGAUCAGUGUACAGUGCUAGGGAGGUAGCUACACGCUUUCUAGAGCAGCUGAGAAUGGUGUACAAUGUUGAUUUGUCACGCAAAAAAAUUGCACUUUCUAACAGCAUAUAAUAAGGGCCACAUGUAUCUAAAGAAAUAUUGGGCAAAGAGCUCACCUUGGGCUGGCAUUUUCGUAGACCAAGACAUACUAGAAACUUGAGCCAUUGAAAACUUUGAGGUGCAUGUGACACAUGGCUGCUAGGUGAAAAAAGGAGCAAGUUAAAAAACUUUGAGGUACAACCCACCUAUGCACGCCAAUGGCCCAAGCCACACGUUAUAAGCCAUCUUUGAUGCAGUGAGACAAAUUACCAUGGAUGCAGAUCAAAGCGAGCACCUAUGGCCAGUAAAAUGAGUGCAACUUCUCUGUUUCUACACUCUAGAGAAUCCAGUAAAGUUGACUAUGUUCUCUGGGGUUCCUAGUUACAAGAAUCCAUGGUUGUUCCACAAUGCAUUUGCAAACAGAAGCAAGAACAGGUGUUUGCUAUGCAAAGGACGGAAAAAAUCACAGGCAACUUCUGAACAUAUCAUGAUAAUAGGAGCCUCCAUAUAUUCAUUUACCAACUAUCGAUGGUUCAAACAUCAUCGGCGGAUGAGGAAUACGAUGUUGACAGUGACGAUCAUCUUCCAGUCUUUCUUCAGGUUGGCAAGCACAUCGGCCUUGCAUGACUGGCAGCCAUAGCAGUCUAGCAGAGGGCCCUCUGAUCAUUCGACCGCGGUCAUUGUUAGAGUUGAGGCCAGGAGGUUUGAUCAAGACGGUGUUUGCACAUGGUCGGGGUUUACAGCAUCUAGACUGGGCACAUGAUAGGAGUGUGUUAGUUGCAGAAAACACAACGUGGUAAUUCAGCAGCAGUUUUAGCAUUGAGAAAACACAAUUCAAAGGCAAAUGUCAAGGAAGAAAUACAUAAAUACAAGAUAUAUGAUGGUCUGCAUGUGAGAUCAUCGAUAGCAGUACAGAAGUAUCAUUCAGGGUCAGACCAAAGAGUAAAUCCUUUUCGGAAAAAAAAGACCAAAGAGUAAAUAUCAGUAUAUUGGUUUGCAAAAAUGGCAGUAGCAUGAGGGGUGACGUGACGAUGAAUAUCAUGGAAGUGCUGGUACAGUGCUUCUGAAGCAACAAAAAGUUAAAAAGUUUUUUCUUCCUUUUUUUGCGAGUAAAAAUUCAAAAAGUUAUACCAGUUGAUUACACAUAAAGAGAUUAUACUGAAUUUAGGUAAGCUACACCCCAUAUUUGCAUUUGGCACAAGCUAAAUUGGCACUCCAAAGAAACCACCUGCAGGAAAAGCAAAUCAUGGAUGCAGCAAGUCUUCAAUACAAUAAUGUCAAAGGUUUUAAUUGACAUGAACAAGGUAUUACCACACGCAACAAAAGGAGAAUUACAAUGUGGGAAUUUUCACGGGUAUGCUAAGUCCACAACUGAGUAAAGUUUAAGCAAAUCCUAUCGCAAAUUCAUUCCUUCAUCAGAAUGGUGUACAAUAUAAUAGUCUCAUGAACAACUUAAAAAACUAGUGAAAUCUAGUGGCAUUGAUUUGUACCCAAACAUGCCAUGAAACAAACCCAAUGAAACAAGUUGAAUUGCUAGCACUAGUCGUGACUACUACUCAAAUCUCCCAUUAAUCUUCACCAAAGCCCUACCACAAUACUAUAAUACAUUGACAUGCAGCCAAAGGCUAGCUGUAUCCAUUAGCGUUUAGCACAUAAUAGACAAAUAAACAGCCAAGCAAGAUAGCAAGAGGGGAGACAACCACAGUACAGCACCAUAGCAAACUGGAAGAUAAACAGUACAGAAAGUAAGUAACUAACCGACAAUGUACCAUAGCAUAGAAAUUGCAGAGCAAUUAUUCAUGCGAACUGAAGUGUCAUGUGUUGUGGACCUUGUGGAGAUGGGAUCAGACGAUUCUUCUACCUGUCCAAUGGAAUACUCACACACAAUCUGUACCAACUCCACAUGCACUGCCACUCGUUAGCACUAUCCACAUCAUCCUACAUUUUUUUGGUUUUGGGGUGAAAUCUAACUAAAACAGCGAGCUGAGGAGCCCGACCCGGUCGUGAAAAGUAACCGAUGAGCGAGCUGAGCUGAGGAGCGAGCCAGAAUGUUAUUUGGCUCACGGCCUGCGGAUGCACGCCCUGAGCACUGUUUGCCGACACACUCUUGAGGCGCUAAGAGCAUCUCCACCCGGUGAGCUAGAUAAGCCGUGCGCUUGAAAAAAGGGCAAUAUAGCGCGCGCGACCGAAAGUAGCGCUCCAGUAGUCGCGCUAUAAUGCCGCACGCAGUAUAUAAGGUUCAAUGCGUUGGGGAAACUGCAUCGUGCACAGCGUAUUUGGUGUGCCCGCUCGCGCGCUGCAAAAUCUGGACUGCUGCGGGUGGGGCCGCCGGAUUGGGCGCCGUGUUUUUGCUCUUCUGGUAAAGCAAAAUACCAGCCCAGCGUGCUGAAAUGCUAUUUCGGGGCUGAGGAGCUGAGGAGCCCAACCCGGUCGUGACAUAUAUAUAUAUAUAUAUAUAUAUAUAUAUAUAUAUAUAUAUAUAUAUAUAUAUAUAUAUAUAUAGCUGUCUAGGGCCUGCCUCGUUUCCUUUCUUUUGAUUGAUAGUUUGUUUUGAUUCUUUUUCCUUUUCUUUUAUACUUUUAAUUAUAUUUAACAUUUUUAUGCAGUGUUUAAUAGAUGUAAUGCUGUGUUAAGAAAAUGUUCGCGCAACUUUUAGAAAAAUUUAAUAGCAUUAAAAAUGUAGCGUGAUCCCAAAAAAGUAUUCGACAAAAUUUUCAAAAUGUUUGCAAAACGUAAAAUACAUAUUCAUGUAUUUUUAAAAACAAUGUUUUGCAGCCUUCAAAAAAUAGAUUCGACAUUUAAAAUCUUUCACGAGUUUGAAAAACAUGUGACAUUUCUAAAAAAAAUAUACACUGAAAAAAAUUCUCCUAUUUUAAAAUUCUAUGUAUCAUUUAAAAAAUAAUUGAACACAUAUUUGAGAAAAAUUAACACGUAUUUGAAAAAAUAUAGAUCUUGUAUUAAAAAAAGAUCACAGAGUAUCAAAAAAACUUUUAAACAUGUACACAAAAAAGUACAACGUGUGUUGCAAAAAAUAGAGAUGUGUAUUGAAAAAUGUACAAUCUGUAUUUAUAAAAAGAGANNNNNNNNNNNNNNNNNNNNNNNNNNNNNNNNNNNNNNNNNNNNNNNNNNNNNNNNNNNNNNNNNNNNNNNNNNNNNNNNNNNNNNNNNNNNNNNNNNNNNNNNNNNNNNNNNNNNNNNNNNNNNNNNNNNNNNNNNNNNNNNNNNNNNNNUAAAAAGAGAAAAAAAAACAGAAGAAAACCAAACAAGAAAAACAAAAAACCGAAGAAAGAUACACGGAAACUACCACAGAAACAAACAGAAAAAGCCACACAAAACCUGUCAAAACCACCACAAAAAAAGGGAAAAGCCCACACAAAAAACCGGUCGAAACCACCACAUAACCAAACAGGAAAAAAAACGCACGGAAAACCAGUCAAAAACGUCCCUGAAAAACCGCUCCCCAUGACUUGUAUUGGGCUGGCCCAUCUUCCUCCCGCCAGGGGGCGAGACCUACGUAGUAGAUAGCCUGAUUAGUUUACUUCUCCCUUUCCUUCCUCUUCUUCUUUUUUUAAUUUCCGUUUUCCUUUUUUAUUUUUCCUUUCUUGUAUUUUUAUUUUUCUUUUUUAAUUUUCUUAAAUUUUUUGGAGUUUUUUCUAAAAUAAAUGAACUUUCUCCAAAUUUGAGAACUUUUUUAGAAUUGAUGAAUUUUUUUUCAAAUCCGACGAAAUUUUUUCAUAAUCGUUGAACAUUUUCUGAAAUUCAAUGAAAUUUUUUUAAUUGAUUAAAAAAUAUCAAAUUUUUUAACUUUUUCAAGAAUUGAUGAACUUUUUCCGAAUCAAUGAACUUUUUUUUAAAUUUGAUGAAAUUUUUUAAAAAUCCAUAUUUUUUUCUGCAAAUUUGUGAUUUUUUUCAGAAUCGAGGAAAUCUUUUUCGAACUCAAACUUUUUAAACUCUUUUGUUUUUGAUUUUUCUCAAAUUCAUGAAUUGUUUUAAAAUUUGUGAACUUGUUUUCAAAAUGUUUUAAAUUUUUUGAAUACAUGAAUUCUUUUGCAUGUUCGUGAACUUUGCUUUUGAAAUCUGUGAACUAUCAAUUUUUUGGUUCACAUUAAAAAAACGCAUUUUGUGCAAUAAAUAGCGCGUCCGUUGUUGUUCUUAAAAGGUCCGCGAUGUAAAUAGUCAGUAGCAUGUAGUCGCUCUCCUGGUUAGCCUGAUGGUACAGGAGGCCGACGGCACAAGAUCAAGUCGUUGUGCCCCUUGCGUUCUGUGGCGCAAAAGGCGCGGAAUAAGAGGCCCCCUUUAAGCACGGAACCAUGAUGAUAACAGAAAAAAAGAAGAAAAAAACAUGGAUCCACGAUGGCCUCGGCAUCCAGAGCCAGAGGGAUCAGCACGGGGACGGCUGGCUCAUCUUCUUACCCACUGCUCUCAUUUCCCCUGCCCCCUCUUUUCUUUUCUUCUCUCUGAACGACUCCUGUAAAACUGAACCGUGUGUCUGAACUAGUGUGUUCAGUGGGAUUGAGGAAGAACACUAGUAAACCCUGUCAGCCCAUCUCCUAAGAUACAGUAUUUUUGAGGAUGCGGAUUUCAUUAUUCUACCGGACACCUUUGCGUUCAGGUCAUCGAUACAACAUCCAGGCUAAUUACCUGAAAUAUAAUUAAAUUUUUCGUGCAAAAGAAUCCUCUGAUCAGAAGCAAAAAUCGGAUGUACCGGACUACUGCGUGCUGGUCUGAUCAGCAGCAGAGAUCGUGAUGUAAAGCCAUGACGAUGCUUACACACAAAGAAUAACAUUGGUUGUUCCAAAUCAUCCAAAUAAAUAAAUACAGGUAGUAAACAUGUGAGAAACACGAACGGGGAAAACAUCGACAUGAAGGAAAGAUGCAUGUAGACGGAACGGUAAACCUACUAGGUCAGAUCAAUACGACUGACACUGGAGUUCAGUAGGUCUUGAAGGCAGGACGAUUGAAAUUACAUGCAAGCUGUUCCUGCAAGUCUGCCACGAAGUUGUGCUCGUAGGUACCCACAAGCUUAAAUUCCUUGAAGCUCAGAAGAUUUCGUAGCCCAGAAAACAAGCCAACGUGUGCUGCUUUAAGCGAACUACGAAACUGCAGCAGCUCUAGCUUAGCUGUUGCUCCCUGUUCAAACUUCACUGAUCUGAGGUCACCGACCCGAUCCAGUUCCAGCAGCACCAGACUCGGGAAUGUGUCCUGAUGGAAAGUGACACGGAUAUCAUUUCCAUCGAAAGACUCCUUCCACAGACGCAGUAUGGCCAGUUUUGGCAAACUCCCAAGGACUUCUACGGCAGCAUCACAUAGCAACAUCCUUGAGCUCUGUAGCUUUAACUUCACGAGAUUUUUAAGCCCCUCGCCCUUCACCCAUCCUGGCAAAGUGACCAUAUUACCGUAAAACUUGAGGCUCUGGAGGUUUUUCGGGGGCGCGCGCAAGCCAUCCAAGCAGGCAGAUAAACCAGGCUUGCCCGCUGACUGCAUUGACAGCGAUUCCAAGCACCUGAGAUGAGCAAUUGUCGAACAGAACUCUUUACUGUUUCUCUUGUUGAUGCCAGUUACCCUUAACUUACGAAGCCCGCCAAGUCUGCUCAAGUCUUCUAGAGCGGCCUUCCCCGAUGCGAUGUUCACAGCACCCAGAGUGUGCAGGGCUUUCAGUUUAUGGAAUCCUCUGGGAACUGCAACACCACGUAGACAUUGGUGCCUUGCAAACGCAGGUAAAAUGGAGCAGCAGCACGCAGUGCAUACAUCACGCCUGUUCACGUCUCCAUCCAUAUCUGUUGAGUAACGUGAUUGUAUUAGGAAACAUAGGUUAAGACUAGGAAAUAUUCUGGCUUGCCUUGUACUCCAAGUAGAUCAUGUACUCCUAUAUAUAUGCCCAUGAGGCUCAAGCAAUACAACAACAAUUCCACCAAUCACUCUCUCCCUUUUAACAUGGUAUCUAUCGCAAGUCGAUCCUAAACCCUAGCCGCCACCGCUUCCGCACCUGCGCGCCGCCCCCGGGGCGGUCGGUCUCCUUGACCGCCGCCGGGGGCUGCGCCGCCCGUACCUAGGGUUUGUCCGCCGGUCGUGUUGACCGGCUGCCCUAGAGAGUCUUUUUUCCGAUCCUUUGAUCCGGGUUUUCUCUCUCGCCGGUCACUUUGAUCGGCGUCUACUUUUUGGUUUUCCGGUCUUUGUGAUCCGGUUUGCGUCGCCCACCGCCGCCGUCGACCCCGUGCGCCUCUACUCCGACUUCGGCAUCGACUACACCGGCGUCUUCACCGACCUGGCGGCCUCACGCGUCGUCCACGCGUCUACCCGCCGGUCGCCCCGACCCGGCGGCCUCGCAUCAUGCGGCGGCCCUUCACCGCCGCCGUUCGCGCGACGGCCCGCCCGUCGAUCUACGCCGGCCGUCACCGCCUGCUCCGACCGGGACUCCUGCAUCACCCCGACCCGGCGGCCUCGCGCCAUGCGGCGGCCAAUCAUAGCCGCCCUGCCGCCCGCCGCUGCCGGCUUCAUCUCGGACUCCGCCGCCACCACGCCUUCACCGAGCGGUGUCCCCGACCUCGCGCGCGAUCGGCUUGAUCACCCGCUCGCCGCCGCUAUCAGCCUCAUCUACGCCGCGCGACCGACCUGGCCCGUCGGUUACGCGCGCCUUCGCAGGUCCCGUGAAGAUCGUCUCCGAGUUCAGCGCGCCCCUCCGUCGAUCGAGCAACGGGCUGCCGCUGCGUCGCCCCGUCGGGCCGCAGCGCCGCCGCCCCGUGGUUCUCCUCCCGGCUGCACCGACCCGCGUCACCGUUGCGUCGCCCCUUCAGGCCGUAGUGCCGCGGCCCGCGGUCUACCGCCGCCCCGAGGUCGUCCACUCCAGGCCGUCCCCGUGGCUGCACCGACCCUCGCGCCGCCGCUGCGUCGCUCCGUCGGGCCGUAGCGAGCGUGGCACGCGGUCCACGCCGCCGUCUCGAGGCCGUCCACGCGGUUGCACCACCCCGCGCUCCGCCGCUGUGCCGCCCCUUCGGGCUGUAGCACCGCGGCCCGCGGUCCCUGCGACCGUCCCGAGGUCUUCCGUCGUCACCCCGACCUGCCCGCCGCCGCCGCGUCGCCCCUUCGGGUCGUAGCGCCGCGGCCCGCGGUCCAUCGCCGUCCCCGCGCGUCGAUCUCCCGUGGUAUGCGCCGCGCCGUCUCCUUUGGCGCGGGAACACCACCGUCCGCGCCGGUCUUCGUCACGCUGUCAGGGUUCUUCGCCUACUUCGAGCACCGCCGCCGCACUGCUAACCUAGCCGCCGCCGCUGCCGCUCUUCUUUGGCCGCCGCCGCCGCUACCUUCAUAGCCGCCGCCGCCGCCCGUCCACCCCCUUCGUCUUCGUACAGCUUGUGCAGGUCCCAGUCUAUGCAUGCCCGGUACUGGCAACACCGCCGCGUGCCUUCGUCCACGAUGUGUCCCCGGGCCUGGCAAGCCUGGUGCGGCGCUUCGUCAACUUCGUCUUCGUCCGUCUACGCAUGCCCGGUGCUGGCAACACCGACGCGUGCCUUCGUCUACGAUGUGUCCCCAGGGUUGGCAACCCCGGCGCGACGCGUCGUCAACAUCAUCUCCGUCCUGGCGCACCACUACUUCGACACCACUGCGCCCACGACUAACUCGGCGCCCCCUUGCGCCCGCGGCUCCACGGCGACUUCCUCGACACCGGCCACCCCGACUCGACAUCGACCACGGCAUUCUUCGCACGGCUACCUCGACCACGGCUCCACCACACACGCUCUCGGCUACAUCGACAAACGGCACAAAGGGCUACCGCCCGCUUGAGCAACCUCGUUGGUUUCCACUCCAGCCACGACUCCGCGAUGCAUCGACCGUUACGACUGUGGGGGGUGUCCGUCGGCUUACCUUCGGAUUCUUCUCCAGUCUCAACGUCUGCAUCGCUACCGUUGUGACUGCGGGGGGAUGUUGAGUAACGUGAUUGUAUUAGGAAACAUAGGUUAAGACUAGGAAAUAUUCUAGCUUGCCUUGUACUCCAAGUAGAUCAUGUACUCCUAUAUAUAUGCCCAUGAGGCUCAAGCAAUACAACAACAAUUCCACCAAUCACUCUCUCCCUUUUAACAAUAUCCAAACUCUCUGCCACAAGAGGAGAUGCGCAGCAUCCCACACAUAGUGCCACUGAAGAGCAAGUCAAAAAGCAUAGCCUGUUCCUCGUUAGCUUUGGCACAUCUUCAAAGGAUGUUUCAAAGUCGUCGUCGUUGUCAUCUUGAUUUCUGAUGGCGCCAGCAAGAAUAUGCUGUAGCUUACUAAGCUUGACAAUGCUCCCUGGUAACUUGAAUAUGGAUGUGCCUGCAAUAUCUAAUGUCUGGAGUUGCCUUAGGUUACCCACCGAACCUGGCAGGUGAUAAAUAUGAAGACAUCCUCUUAGGGAUAGGUAUCUUAGGUGAAGAAGAAUUCCGAUAUGCUCGAGGUGAUGAUCAACUAGACCUGACGUGUCUUCCAGGUCAAGUACUUGUAGAAGCCUUGUCUUCUCAGAAAUGAAAAAUGGCCUCCACUUGCCAAAUAUUGUCAAUGACCGUGUAUGAGAUAUGCCCACUAUGCUCUCAAAUUCACUUUGGUCUUCCUCCCAAUUCCAACUUACAGCAAGGUGUCGGACUGUGCCCACUCCGUCUAGGCUACAACCUUCCUCCAAUCUGAAAACAAGAUUUGCUUCCACUGACUUAGAAUUACCAAUUCCACGGAUCAUAUCAUGGACUUGGCACGAGUCAAUUCCUUUUGUGCUACGAAAUGAUUGUUGAGUCGGUAGUAUCAUGCCCCUGCUUAUGAGUUCCAUGAAGUAGCUCUCUCUCGUUUCCUCCACGGACCUGGCACGCACCACCCUUGAGUAACCUUCUGCAGUCCACCGCCGCACCAACCGUCUCCGGCUAACCUUUUGGUCUUGGAGGAAGAUGGACAUGUGUAAUAGACAAGAUUUUAGGUGAUAGGGUAAGCCAUCGUAGCAUUUGCUAAGGAGUGCUCUUAUGACCCCAACCUCUGUAUUCAUCUCCAGCUCAUCAUUGAUUUGCUCAUUAAAUCUUCUCCACUCCUCCAAGGUUUUUGGUUGGUUUGCCAAGAAGGUAGCUGUGGUGACAAUUGCCAGGGGUUGUCCACGGCACAUUCUCAAUAUCAGGUCUGCCUGUUCAGCUAGCUCAGGAUAUUGCUCAUCGAAAUUUACAGUCUCCUUAAAUACCUGAAACAUGUACAGUGUAAUUAUGUGGUAGGAGUUGAGUUCUCCAUAAAAUAUAUUUAAGUACUUUAUAAAAAAACAAUGUAAUUAUCUCUCCCAAAAGAAAGAGUGGGGUGGUUUGGGGGUCCCUAAUCUUAGGAAAUUCAAUAUGUCUUUGUUGGCUGCUUGGAGUAAACGAUUUUUUGAUGAUAGGGAUAGUGACUGGAAAGAAAUUGUUGGAGUUCAAGUAUAGUGUGAAUAGACCUAGCAUACUUUGGGCUAAGUCUGGGAUGGGAUCUCCCUUCUGGAAGAGUUUCACCUGGGCUUGCUCUGCUGCCAAAACUUUUUAUAGAUGGAUUCCUGGGAAUAGGAGAAAUAUUUCCUUUUGGCAUGAUACUUGGGUGGGUGAUUGUUCACUCAAAACUAGCUUUUGGGAUCUUUUUGUGAUUUGUCAACAACAAGAUGCCUCAGUGGCUCAGGUGUGGGAUGGGGAGAAUCUCCAGCUGACCUUUAGAAGGUGUGUUAGUGAAGAUAUCUUGUGUUCCUGGAAUGAACUUCUCGGUAUGAUUAAAAGUGUUCCUUUUAAUAACUUGGCGGAUAAGCCUGUUUGGUCUAUGGAAAGUAAAGGGUCAUACUCUGUUAAAUCUAUGUAUAAGAUGAUUAAUUGGGGGAGCGUGGUCUCUAUCUGGAGGGAUUAUAUUUGGAAAAUCAAAGUUCCCCCUAAUAUUCAUGUUUUUCUGUGGCUAAUUGUGAAUAAUAAAAGUCUAACCAGGGACAAUCUGGCUAAGCGCCAGCAUGUGGAAGACCUGACUUGUGUCUUUUACUGUGAACCUGAAAGCCUCCAGCAUCUGUUUUUUGAUUGUGUAGUUGCUCGACAAGUUUGGCUGGUGAUAGCUAACUGUACCAAGAUGCCUGUACCUAAUUCGUUUGAGUCUUUGCUUCCUUUUUGGAAGAAGAAAAAGAGUUUUGAUGCUGUAAAUUUGAUUUCUGCUGCUACCUUAUGGAGCUUAUGGUUGUUUCGGAAUGAAAUUGUGUUCCAGGGGCGAAGAUGGAGAAGCAUCAAAUGUGUACUGGAGAUGGUGGGGAGACAUAUUUAUCAAUGGAAGAUCUUGUGCGCGGAGUCCCAGGGUGUACUACUCCUCCAAUGCUUGAAGCUGCUCGACCAUCAUCGCGGGGAGUUGCUUAGAAUUGCCUGGCUGGAUGAUGCGCCUGUAGGGAGUUCAGUGCCUCUGCGCUUGUAGUUCCUAUAGGGGCCAUUCGAAGUUCUCUUAGUGGACUUUUAAUCUGCUGGAUGUUUGAAUGUGUAAUAAUUCUGCUGUGGCUACUUCUGGCUGGAGCCGAGAGCUGUAAACUCUGUUCGUCGGUUGCCUUUGCUUUUUCAAUAAAAAGUUGUUUCAAAAAAUGUACUUUUAUCUGUUUCAUGGUUAAAAAGGAGGAAUUAAAAAUCAGAAGGGGUAGGAGUUGAGUUCUCCAUAAGAUAUAUUUAAGUAUUUAUAACACAUGUAUUUUUUAUUAAGUAAAUUACAGUAUGAAUUAUGAAUCACGUGAUUUGACAUAAUUGCACAACAUACAUGGACAGAAUCUAUUUACAUGGUACCAUGUGGUUCGUCCUUGUGGAUUGGAGAUCAUAUUAAUAGAUUUUAACCACACGCGGCACCAGGCCCGUACCGGACACAUGUGCAGCAUGUUCAACAGCACAGGGCCCCCAAGUGACCAGGGGCCCCAAUUUUUUCUGUACACUAUUUUUUCUGAACACUUAUGCAAAUAUGCUUCUUAAUUAAUGACCAAUCAAUGCAUUUUUUAAUACGAAGUACUACUAGUAUUCCUUGGGAACAUGCACGGUAAUACUAGCUCCCAGUACUCCAUCUCACGCACGCCUCUCCUCCUUCCUAUUCUCUUUCUCCGUAGUCUCUUUCACUUCCAGCGACACAUGCACAUCCUUUGCUCCAUCGCACGGCUCCUAGCUUAAUUCCUUUGCGGUUUCUCCGAAAUAAACAUCUAUUUACGCUCUACCCUCAAUCCAAUAUCUAUUUAUUAGGUGUCUCUGCUUAUUAGAUUUUGUUGCUGCUUCUACCUACGCUGCCCGACUAGAGCUUUAACAAGACUACCAGAACUCAUAAAAAGAGUUUGCUUAUAUAUGUUCUAUUUCUAACACAUCAUAUACUAAUCAUUCAAUCUAAAAAUGUGUUCUUGAUAUGUUUUUAGCAAAAUAAUCAAGUGGCAUUUUGGAGAAGAUUGCUUAUGAAAAACAAAUUGAAGAUUUUCUAUCAAGGCUGCUAGAAGGAUGCAUGUUUACGCUAAUUUUGAGUUUUGAGAAUUUGAGUAUAAUUUUUUUUUCCUAAUAAUUGCCAAUGGUUAUAUCAAGGGCUUAAUUUUGGAUGUUGAACAGGGCCCCCGUUUUCUCGGGUACGGCCCUGCGCGGCACAUUCUCGAGGGUAAUAGAAACGCUAUGUAUUUCAUCUCAUCACUAAUGGUAGACACCAAAAGAACAGGAAUUUCCAAUUAGAGAGGAAGAUGGUACAAUGGUCGGUGAGGACAAACUCAAGGUGUACAUAACUACUCCCUCCGUCCCACAAUGUAAGACGUUUUUGCAAGCUGCAAAAACCUCUUACAUUGUGGGACGGAGGGAGUAAUUUUUAUAGGUUGUUGUUAGGGCAUGUACAAUGGUUGAUAAGAUAAUCUUAUCUUAAGUCUUGCAUGUGAUUUAGAGAUGACAAAAAAACUUGUCUACAAUGGGUCAUAUCUUAGCCUUAUCUUCAAUAACUAGUAAUUCCUAAAAAUGUGGUGAGACAUAUUGUGCUAAGAGAUCACCUCUUGUCUUCUCUUAAAUAAGAGAAGACAAGUCUUUUCUUAUGAGUUCUCUCUCCUCCACCUCAUCAUCUAUCCUACGUGGCAUUGCUAAGAUAGAACCAUUGUACAUGCCCUUAGAUUCCCAGUAACGAACUUUAUCUUGCUAGAUGAGGGUGUCACAUAGGACAUCCCUCAGCUUCCUUCAUGGAGAAACAAGUGUGGGAUGCCAUUUCCGAAAUGGAACAUAAUAAAGGUUAUGGAUGUUUAUUGAGGGGGAAUUGAUGGCUCCGUUCACGGAGUUGUAUAGCCCUUACACAAGCUCAACUUUGGCAUCAUCACCCUUCUUCCUAAGAUAGAGGAGGCUAUCAAACACAUCAAUUUCACCUUCUUUGUCUACUCAAUGCCAGCUUAAAAAUAUUCACCGACAUAGCAAGGAACUGCAUAAUUGUGAUUGCCCACAAGUGGCGUGGCCGACGCAGUGACGUAGAGUGCAUUCAAGCUCAGGCGACACUCCUAGAGGGGAUAGUUAUUUUCCAUGAUACUAUUCACGGAUCACGAGUUGCACCCGAAGAAACUCGAUGUGGUUAUCUUCAAGGCGUAUUUCGAAAAAGAUUAUGAUGAGGUCAAAUGGCCUUUUAUACAACAACCAACAAAACAUGUGAAUGAAGGCUUUCCUGACAAAUGGGUCCAAUGGGUUAACUAUUAUUUUAGAUGUCGAAGGGUUAAGGAAAAGAUUGACCUACAAUGGAUACACUUUUCUUUGGUGUUUCUCUGCUGAAUAAUGGAUUCAGGCAAGCCUUUACUGGGGACAGAUGGAUAGACUGGUCGAAGCACAUGCAGAGAUUGAUUUUUUGAUAAAGCAUGCACAGGUAGAUGAUGGUCAACCUCGCCAAGGAGCCACAUACCUUCUGCUGGAAGCUUCACAAUUCAUGUGUCUUGCUUGUUAAAUUUAUGUAUAUGGACCUCAUGAGUGAUAGCCAGCUACCGCCCCAAAUAUAUUUCGAAAUUGAUAGUAUGUGGUACUUGGACAGGAAAGUGAUCCUGACCAAUAAUAACAAUCUAAAAAAGUGGAAUUGGCAGGGGUUCACAAAAAUAUUGCUUCUGUGGAGACGAGGAAUCGAUUCACCAUUUAUUUCUUACAUGUCGACUUGCCAACUUGAUGUAGCGUUUAAUCCAUGUAGCUAUUAAUUGGCCACCGCCAACGAGUAGUACCAAUGUAUUUGGAAACUGGUUAGUGGGGGUACAUCCUAAGCUGAAGGGUAAAAUUUGCAUUGGAGUUUGUGCUUUACUUUGGGACAGAUGGAAUUGUCAUAAUGAUUGUAUUUUGGGCGAAAAUUCUAAAAGUUUGCAGGUAACUUAUAAGGAUGUUAAUUGGAUCCAUACGAGGUCUUAUCUUUGCCAGAGGAGGACCAGGCAUCCAUGGUCUCUGGCUACAACCUGUGGAAGAUGGCCACUCAAGAUUUCUUAAGCCGUUAUAUGGGUGGUGGCCUAGUUGCAGCAUUGGUGACACACGGGACUUCAUUCUCUAUGGAUCAUGUAUCGGUAGUCUUUCUCCCGGAUUGCUAUAUGUGUGCCUCUUUUUUUUUUAAGUUUUUCAACUUGUUUGGACCUUCUGGAUGUUGCAAUAGCUAUAUCAAAGGGGUUUUUUUUUUUGAAAGGAGGAUAGACCCCCGGCCUAGCUAAUCAAAGGGUUACGUUCAUGAAUCGAUGCGGAGGCGGGAGUUUGAUCCCUCUUUUUUUUAAGUAGACAAACUAAAUUGCGAGGGAAUCAAGUAAACAAUAUUUAACCUAUAAGCUUCACUGAACACAAAGCUAAACUGAACUGAGUGCCGUUCAAAAAAAGGUAAACUGUUGAGUGGAGCAUCAAGAACAUUACAAAUUCGAGUAUAUAGCAAAAAACUGAGUGCCGCAUAUAGAAUUUUGGAGGUUUGAUUGCAUGAUAAAGAAAAAAUUAUCAUGAAUUACACAGUGCUAUCCUGCCUAAAGCUUUAUUACUAAAAGUUAUAUAAUUGUGCAUUUUCAUGAUAGCGUAUGUGUUACAUUCUUAUUUAACAAAUCACCAUGCGUUAAGCAUUACAGUUUUACAGGAAAUACAACUCUAUGUGCGCAUAUAUAUGUAUUAUAAUAUAUGACAGUGUAAUUGUUACCAAAAGCUGGAACAAGAUUGGAGUACUGUGGUAAUUUGUACAAUCCUUAUUAAAAAUAAAUAUAUGAUUAAAAAAUGAAGUAUUUCCUACAUUGUAAGUACCUUUGUUGUGAAGAGGCUAUGUGCGUCAUGGUAGUUUAGAGCAAAGAGUGUGUAUAUGCUACUUUUUCCCCAUGAGCACUGUUUGGCAAUAUUAGAGAAUCUUGUGGUAACUAUGAUCUGACUUGUAUUUUCUGUUUCAGGGAAUGCUUGACUUAUCCCGUCCCACUCAGUAGUAGACAACAGAUCAUCAAGAACAAUGAAGCACCUCUUUGUUGCUAAAUGUCUGGCAAACAACUUGAUCAACUCUUCAAGAGACCUCAAUGGUAAUCUUUUCUUUUCAUUGUGCAACAAGCCCAUCAUGUCCUCUUCAGAAUUUUCUUCAUCUAAUUGCACGACUAAGCUCGUAAGGAGCUCCUCGAGAAUGAAGGGACGCAAGAUUGUUGCAUAAGCAUGCUUCUCAAACAUUCCACGGAGCUCCUGGUGUUGGUAGAUAGCUUGUACUAGAGUAGUUUUUCCAAUACCAACCAUCCCCGACACCCAUAUCACCUUACUUUGUUGGAUAUCUUCAUUUGCAAUUAGUUUGAUAAGUUCGUAUUUCUCUUUUUCACGCCCAACAAGAUAAGAUGCCUCUGAAGCAGCUGCUAUCAACCUGAUACAAUUGGGCAAGGUACCGGUAGUGUCUGUGGUUGACCAUGACCCUCCGGUGAGAUCUUCUCGACCAUGGGAACUCUGCACACAUGCGAGCAAUGUUAGGCAGUGGCCACAAUUUAGAUCUUACCCUGUAUCAGCAUAUUUAAUAGAUGAUGUAGAUGCAAAAAUAACUAACUUUUGCAUCUCCGAGGCCCAUAAACCCAUCUCCAACAGAUGAUGUUGAUGAAAAAAAAUAGAUGACCUCCUUCAGAAGAUGUAAAAUACAACACCUGAAGAUGCAAAUUUGCAUCUCCACCUCCAGGUGACCACGGUUGCGCGCCAACCACCAACCGUCUUCAAUUUCCCUUCCCUUCUUCUUUCUCCAUCCGCCGCCCCGAUUUGCCCACCACACUCCCACUGCCGCCCGCCAGUGCCAGAUCCGGCAGCGAACCACCCCUGCCGCCGCUCCUCUGUUGCCGCCCCCCGCCUCGAUUACCGACUGCCGCUGCCUCGAUUCCUCACUCCCACCGCCACGACGCUCGGCCGCAACAGCCGCCGCCGCGCAGCCGCCACUACCCCGCUGUUGCCAUGCUGCCGAAAAAGCUACCAAAGAGCAAGACGGAGUUCUUCGACGUGCAGGCAAAGCCGUCCGGCAACUUUGACGUCAAGUUCUCCGAUGCCGUUCGCCGCUUCUGACCCGGCACAUACCUGACCGUCGAGGAGGCCGCUCGUGCAUACAACAUGGUCGUAUGGCGUGCUGGGAGGCCGAGGAAGGACCUCAACUUCCCAAAGAUUGAUACCUGGGCGGAUGCAGUGUUCCUCGUGCCAGACAAUAUUUGGAUGGAGGAGAUGAAGAAGAAGUUGGCCAUUGUCGUUGCUCCCGGCGAUAGCGAUGAGGCGGCGAUGGCGAAGUUUGCCGGGAGCAUCCGGAGUAUCUCGAGGCUGAGCACGGGUUCUUCUGGAAGUGCGAGGCUGAACAGAUGAAGAAGAAGGGGGUGAAGAAGGAGGAUGAGGCCAGCCCCUCGACGGUGAUCCCUGUCAAGUCCUCAGAGGAGGACAACGAGAAGUUCGGGGACACUAGGAGGAUGACAGCGAGGAGUUUUGGAUGCCUUCGAAUGACGAGGAGUGAUGGAUGUAGUAGUUUCAAUUAGUUGUAGUAGUCUUUAAUUUAUGUUUUUUUAAUUAGAACUAUGUUUCAACUGAAGUAGUAGUUGAACUUGUUAUGUUUGAAUUAUGUUUCAACUGAAGUAGUAGUUGAAAUUUCUAAUUUUACAUCUUGAGUAUACAUCAUCUAUUGGAGUUGGACUUUUACAUCACCAAUAUACAUCAUCUGUUGAAGAUGGCUCUUUUUUGAAGAUGUAAAACUCAUAUAGGUAAUCUUGAGUGAUAGAAAUUUGUGAACUUUUCUGGAAGAGGGUGUACCGAAGCAAAACUCAUAUAGGUAAUGUUUUUAAGUUUCCUAUUAGCAUUUAUUCUGCUAGUUGCUAUAAAUAUGGUGGGAAAUACUUGUUUAUGUUGUAGACGUGUUGCACGCUAUGGCUAAAGUUGUACUCACUCCGAUCGAUCCAUAGUUAGUGUCGUGGUUUUAGUUCAAAUGCGCAACCAUGGGUAACUUGUUAUAAUGAGAAAAGAAUUGACACAUUCUGAUAAUUAGGAAAAAUUUACAAUUAUAUACUCCCUCCGUCCGAAAAUACUUGUCAUCAAAAUGGAUAAAAAGAGAUGUAUCUAGAACUAAGGGAGUAGUAUAGAACCACAGGUAACACCUCAUUCUCAAAUGUCCUCUUACCAGGCUUUUAUGGCAUACGAUUCAUGUAGCUUCAGUGGCAGCCCUUCAAACAUCAUUUACACGUUAUUUGGGACGUGACUAAAUGAAGUGGAUCCAAAUACUGCCGGACUUAUUCACAUAGGAGUAUGCACAUUACUUUGGGUUAUAUGGAACUGCAGGUUAUAUACCGAGCCACUUGGUUGGAUCCGUACAUGGUCGAUACUUAGUCAUACGGAAGCCAAGGAGCUUAUGGCUAUUGGGUGCAAUCGUUAGGAGACAAUAGCACGGGAUAUUUACAACCGGUUUGGAUGGCGGUCUAAUAAUAGGCUAGAUGUUUAGUCAUCAUGAUCUGUUCUUGCCGGUUGUGAUAACUUUUAUCUUCAGUUUACGUUUGGCUCUUUUUAUAAGCUUGCACCGUACCACACACAUUUUGGACCUUUUGCUUAAUAAUAUGGCCACAUGCAUCGUAUUGAUGUAGAGUCCGGGGGUGAUCCUCCUUUUUGAAAAAAAAAUACAGAACCAGUAGAACAAAUGAAGAUAUAGACCCGGUGAUUUAUAUGCACACAUGGUAUAGGGUCAACAGAUACGAGGACUCAAUUGCUUUAUGGCAAACAGAGGUGAUAUUAAAAGACUGAUAAACUGAGCUACUUGCACAUUAAUUGGUAUUCCAGUUUCUAUUUGGAGUACGAAGCUGGGGACUAUAAAAGCCAAGAUAGCGACUCAAAGAAUAGAGAAUGUAUUGAUUUUCUUUGGAAAAGGAUAGAGAAUGGAUUGUUGUGUACUCCCUCCGUCUAGGUGUGUAAGGCUGGUCAUAGUGGGGAGUAACUUAGAGUAGUAACAUGUAUAUGUUACUAGCCUAUGUUAUUACCUUCAUAGUGGGUGGUGUCAUAUGUGUAGUAACAUAGAUGUCUUCAUUUAUCACUAUGUAGACUCAUUUUGCAUUGAAAAGCGCUAUGUGAUGGUAACAUAUUAUGUUACUCUAUUUGCCUCUCUCCUCAUUAACUACUUGCCGCGUCAUCAUUUUUGCUUAUGUGGCAUCUAUGUUACUCCUUAAGUUACUCCCACUAUGACCAGCCUAAGUCAUCUUACGUUGUGCACCGCAACCAAGGUUGAGAGAAAAACGAGAAAACUUAAUGUCUUUUUGCUAAUUAAUAGCUUUGCAUGCAAUGAACUAACCACUACAUGUCAUGUUUGGUAGUCUCAAGUCAUUGAAAGCAUGUCUCUUAUUGGUUGAUAUGUCACAAAACAAGAAACGGGGAGAGAAUUAAUGUACCGUGCCUAAGUGUUUUGGGAUUAUUUGGUUUUCGUAAGGUGACUUACACACCUAAACGGAGGGAGUAGCAAAGAUUGUAAUCCUCUUGCAUUUUGUUUUCGGUUGUACUUUUCCAGUUGGGAUGUGUGUUGCAAUAAUCAGCAUGUAUGUUUGGUUCCCUUGCCGACUUUGCUUAUCUUGGCCAGAGGGGUAAGCAGACAUAUAUAGUGGCCUUGCUAGAGGGACAAUGUGUAAUUGGAUGCGCCAAGUAGUAUAGUUUAUCUAGGAAUUGAUAAUAUUGGAUAAAUAUAUAUUACCUGAUCACCCUGGAAAGCAUAAAUAGUCUGGUGAGCAGACAAUUGUUUCAGUUUUGAUACUAUGCUUCUUUGCCCUACACAUAAGCUUGCAACCUCAGCGUGCACUGUAGACACAAUUAUCCGGCUUCCUUUCUUGUUGUUUGGGAAACAUGCUUUAAUUUGGUCCCAGUCUUCAACGGUAGACAAGUCAGUCAGCACAAUCAGGUAACUCUUUUCAUUGACAUACUGUAUCUUUUGAACUCCUGAGCCAAAUCUUGCCCUGUCUUCUCCGUCUCCAGCAGAACGUCAACACCUAGGACGGCUGUGCGGAACUGCCUGAGUAAUGUCUGCACAAAUUGCUUUGGACUGAAAGGAUGCAUCACCCUGACCCAUGCUCGACAUGGGAACUUCAGUUUGAGAUCCGUAUCCUCGUAGGAUGCUCUGAUGAUGGACACCAGACCGAGAUCACCGCCGGUUCCCCACAAUGCGAUCACUCUAAGGUCAUGAUCCUUCUUGUUGAUGAGUUUGACCAGAUUCGCAUUUGCCUUGUCGAGCAUAGCGACACGCCUUGACUCGUCAACGCCAAACAUCGGCCUGUUGGCGGCGGCGGAGGUGGGAUUGGAGCCAGAGGCGCCGUUGACGAGGUUGUAGCGCAAGUUUCGCUUGUUGACUUCUUCAACCUUCACCCGGAGCUCCAGCAUCCGCUGGGCGACAUGACGCCGAUCCAGCAGCGUGCGAGGGAUUCGCCACCAAGAUUGCUUCUCUAGACGGACAGCGAAGUCCAGGAGGCAGUCCUCUACCUCGUAGGACACGUCCCUGACUUGCUUGACCCAGAUCGUGACGACCUCGCUGUUGUUUCCCUCGGCGUUCCCGGCCAUAAGGAAACCCUGCAUCAUCUCCAGCUCAUCGGUGAUGAAGGCCUGAUCCCGCCGCACUCCGAGCUGCAAAGCAACCUCCUCGGCGAUGGUGGACCGUGCGUAGCCAAUAGCCCCAUUCAGCACGGUCUUGCCCACGCUCAGAAGAGUGGCCUCCAUUACUACUAGGAUUUGGUGGACGCAGAGGCAGUACUAUCGCUAAUGCUCCGCGCUCUCGCGUGUGUUGUGUGGACGGGGACGGAUACCCAAUCUAAAGACGGGGCUAAGAAGGGGAGCUUGGUUGCAAUUUGCAAACAAAGCAUCUGUAAUUUGAUAUUGUCUUUAGGUAGGACUAAGACGAAGACUAAUGGGCUGUAGUAGGUGCAAGUCCCAAAGAUUAAUUAAGUUCUCUUUUUAGUCAGGGGUGCUUGGAACUUUAGCCUCUAAAAAAGACUACUUUUAGUCAGACUAAAAAUAGUCCCUUGUAUCCAAGCACCCUCUGAGCGUCGUGCUUUGGCCGGGCAUCUUCCGGGAAUCUUUCCGUUGGAUGGGGCUGUGCUGCCAUGGUUGGCACGGUGAGCAAUGUGAUCUCCACCUUCUCUCCGUUUUAUAAUAAUUUAUAUUUAAAUCAUGGGCGAAAGAGCGAAGCAUCUUCGCUCUGCUUUACAGAAUUAGUUUUUGGGCCAAGAGACGGGAAAAGAAUCCAAGGGUCGCCUCAAUCGUACGCUAUACUGUGAUGAGCCGGGACAGUACUGUAUUAUUUUUUAGGUGCAAUAGCAGGUGCUCUGCUUUUUUAGCAAGGGGAGAAAAACAGUUUACAAGAGCAAAGAGAAGACUAAAUUUCCGUUUGCAGGCUGCAGGGAUGGCUGUACUCCCUCCAGUCCUUUUUUCUCUGCGUUUAAGAAAAUUUCGUUUUUCCCGCAAUGCUCUGCGUAUUGGCCUUUUUUCGCUGCUCUUUCCAACCGUGCCCUCCAUCCCUUUCUACCGCAUGCGUGCCUGCAGUAAUCCUAUCUCUCUUUCCCAUGUGUUUCGCAUCUUCCCAAGGCAGAAAGAGCUGCUUGCAUGCAGAAACAGGAGAGAGAGAGAGGGAGAGGCGCAUGCAUGCAGAGAGAUGGGCAGGGGAGAGAGAGAGCCGACAUGCAUGCGAAGUCUGGGCCAAUCUCGCAUGCAACCAGGGCCUCUUCGGAUGAAUCCAGGUGCAAAACAGUUCAUUUUUUGCUAAUUGCUCCUCUCCUUGGUAUGCGGGCUGGACCUUAGACGCAGAGAAAAAACGACUGGAGGGAGUACAAAGAGAACUGCACACUAACUCUCCAUCGCCUCACACAGGAGGCAAAUAUUCUGUUUAAUCAGCAGCCAAGUGGCUGAUAUGCUGAAAAAAAAUGCAGCAGUUACCCUCUUUUCAAACGUUUCAAACAGUAUAGGCCGCGAGAACUCUGUUAACCUAGCAAAAUUUGCACCACCAACAUUGACUGUCAGGGAGGACAAAGCAUCCCUCGAAGAUUGUUGCAAAGGCAUCCCAAUAAGAUGCCACACAUGAAAGUCCUAUUAUGAUCCUGAGCACAAAUGCACCCUGAUGAAAAGUAAUAUAAAAAAUUGUAAAUGAAUUGAAAAAAGAAUCAGAUUUUUCUUGAGAUAAACUUUGACCAAUGUUUUCUAUACUUAACAAAUUUCAAAAUGAAAUGACAUUCGUAGAAGUCAUGGCAAAAAAAUCAGCACUACAAAAUAUUUUUAAAACUAGCAUUUUUGGAGCAUCAUUUUAUUUCAUGAUUUCCACGAAUAUCAUUUCGUGGUGAAAUUUUGCAAGCUUAAAAAAUAGUUAUCAAAGUUUACCAAAAAAAUCAGAAUUUUUUAAAUUCUUUUACUACUUUUUUUACUGUUCAUGACGGAGCAUUUGAUCUAAAAACAUGCAAUUUUUAAUAGUCUAUAAUAAGGGCCACAUGUAGUAUGUAAAGAAAUCCUGGGCUGAGGGCUCACCUUGGGUUGACUGGCAUUUUAGUAGACCAAGACGACACUAACAAACUUGAGCAAUUGAAACCUUUGAGGUGCAUGUGAGAAAAGGAGCACCUAUGGCCAAUAAAAUGAGUGCAGCUUCUCAGAUUGUACAUUCUGGAGGAUCCAGUAAAGUUGAGUGGUCUAUGGGGUUCCUGGUUGCAAGAAUCCAUGGAGCAACAAUGCAUUUGCAGACAGAAACAAUAGACUGACUCUAAGCACAGGUAUUUGCUAUGCAAAGGACAGAAAAGAUCACAGACAACUUCUGAACAUAUCUCAUAUCAUGAUAAUAGAAACCUCCAUACUUGCCUCCAUGUUAUAUUUGAGGUCGGCGUAGCAUAUAGCAAGCAUGCACCAUUACCAACUACCGACAGUUCAAACAUCAUCGGUGCUAUAGCAUAGACGAUAGUGUUGCUUGACACACGACAAUGAGCCAACCAUUAACACUGAACAUCAGCCUAACACUACCGGAACAGGGCUCUACACCGACAGCCAAAUAUAUGCCGACGGCUGCCGUCGGCCUACUCCGAGCUAUGCCGACAGCUAGCUCCUGGCCGUCGGCGUACAAUGGCCGUCGGGUAAUCCGUGUCUACGCCGACAGCAGCCGUCGGCAUAUAUAGGCCGUCGGCUUAUCCUAGACUACGCCUACAGCUGCCGUCGGUAUAUAUAAGCCGUCGGCAUAGAUGCGGGCCCGCUGACAACUGUCAUCACGGCCGGCUAACGACGUCAAAUCUAUGCCGACGGCCGUGACGGUAGCCGUCGGCAUAGAUACGGGUGACACGUCACCGAUCCAGAGCGCACCGACCAGGAGCUAUGCCGACAUAGUUUUUUUUCUUUUUUCUCUUUUUUCUCAUAUAGUAUUAUUAUUAUUAAGCAUACAGUAUGUGUUAAUAAGCAUACCUAUAGAUUGUGUUAAUAAGCAUAUAGUAUGUGUUAAUAAGCAUACAUAUAUUUUUUUUCUUUUUCUUCACUGUUUUCUUUAUUAUUUUUAUUUAACUAACUUACAUACAGUAUGUGUUAAUAAACAUACAUACAUUAUUUUUCGGUUCUGUACAGAGCGUUGUGACCCCCCUCACGAACGGUGCCGCCGCCAGCCGGCAACUGGAAUGGGGAAUAGCCGCAUCGGGUCUAUACGAAGGGGACUUUGCUCCAAGUGUUUAUAUAUAUCGGAUGACCUACCACAACCGGAUGGUGUUAUGGCAUGUCCGAAGAGGCGGCACGCAUCUCCGGGGUGUGGCCCCGUCACGGACGGCGCCGCCGCCGGCACCUGGAGGGGGGGAACGGACGCGUCUGGUCUACAUGGAGUGGAUUUAGCUGUGGGUUUGGCCCGGAUGUUGCUCCCCGGUGUCCCUCUGGGCCGACCCGACAAAACCGGGUGGAGAGAUCCACUGGUCAAAGCCCGUCCGUGCAAAGUCAAAUGGCUAGAUCCCGUGGUCAACCGCUCCAGGGUUAGGCGGGACGGGGGCCCUGGGGGUAGCAAUGCCANNNNNNNNNNUGCAAAGUCAAAGGGCUAGAUCCCGUGGUCAAACGCUACAGGGUUAGCCGGGACGGGGGCCCUGGGGGUAGCAAUGCCACCGGAGCGUCGUACCGGGCCCUCAUACAUGCGGGGUGGUGUUGUGGCAUGUCCGAAGAGGCGGCACGCGUCUCCGGGUUGUGGCCCCCCUCACGGACGGCAAUGAAAUGGUAGUAGACGUUCUGCGGUAACGAUGCAGCGUGAAUAUUAUUAAAUACUUGGAGCGCGAUAAAAUCAUGAGUUUUUUACACAACGUGGGCACAUGUGCUAUAGGACUGAUGGUAAUUUUUCAUAAUUUUUUGUGAUGGAGAAGUAUCUGAACACUUCCCUCUACGCGGAUUGCUCUUCGCACGUCUACGACUGUGGCCGGCGGCCUCCGGGGGCUAGCAUACGUCAAAUCUUGCGUAGGCGGCCUCUCACAAAUCUGGAAGUGUUGAGGCGGUUGCAAACGCCCAGCACGCGUCUCCGGGGUGUGCCCCCCCCCCUCACGGACGCCGCCGCCGCCGGCACCUGGAGGGGGGAAACGGACGCGUUGGGUCUACACGGAGUGGAUGUAGCUGUGGGUUUGGCCCGGAUGUUGCUCCAAAGUGUUCCUCUGGGCCGACCUAACACAACCGGGUGGAGAGGUCCACUGGUCAAAGCCCGUCCGUGCAAAGUCAAAGGGCUAGAUCCCGUGGUCAAACGCUACAGGGUUAGCCGGGACGGGGGCCCUGGGGGGUAGCAAUGCCACCGGAGUGUCGUACCGGGCCCUCAUACAUGCCGGGUGGUGUUGUGGCAUGUCCGAAGAGGCGGCACGCGUCUCCGGGUUGUGGCCCCCCUCACGGACGGCAAUGAAACGGUAGUAGACGUUCUGCGGUAACGAUGCAGCGUGAAUAUUAUUAAAUACUUGGAGCGCGAUAAAAUCAUGAGUUUUUUACAAAAUGUGGGCACAUGUGCUAUAGGACUGAUGGUAAUUUUUCAUAUUUUUUUGUGAUGGAGAAGUAUCUGAACACUUCCCUCUACGCGGAUUGCUCUUCGCACGUCUACGACUGUGGCCGGCGGCCUCCGGGGGCUAGCAUACCAUCAAAUCUUGUGUAGGCGGCCUCUCACAAAUCUGGAAGUGUUGAGGCGGUUGCAAACGCCCAGCACGCGUCUCCGGGGUGUGCCCCCCCCCCUCACGGACGCCGCCGCCGCCGGCACCUGGAGGGGGGAAACGAACGCGUCGGGUCUACACGGAGUGGAUGUAGAUGUGGGUUUGGCCCGGAUGUUGCUCCAAAGUGUUCCUCUGGGCCGACCUAACACAACCGGGUAGAGAGGUCCACUGGUCAAAGCCCGUCCGUGCAAAGUCAAAGGGCUAGAUCCCGUGGUCAAACGCUACAUGGUUAGCCGGGACGGGGGCCCUGGGGGGUAGCAAUGCCACCGGAGCGUCGUACCGGGCCCUCAUACAUGCGGGAUGGUGUUGUGGCAUGUCCGAAGAGGUGGCACGCGUCUCCGGGUUGUGGCCCCCCUCACGGACGGCAAUGAAACGGUAGUAGACGUUCUGCGGUAACGAUGCAGCGUGAAUAUUAUUAAAUACUUGGAGCGCGAUAAAAUCAUGAGUUUUUUACACAACGUGGGCACAUGUGCUAUAGGACUGAUGGUAAUUUUUCAUAAUUUUUUGUGAUGGAGAAGUAUCUGAACACUUCCCUCUACGCGGAUUGCUCUUCGCACGUCUACGACUGUGGCCGGCGGCCUCCGGGGGCUAGCAUACGUCAAAUCUUGCGUAGGCGGCCUCUCACAAAUCUGGAAGUGUUGAGGUGGUUGCAAACGCCCAGCACGCGUCUCCGGGGUGUGCCCCCCCCCUCACGGCCGCCGCCGCCGCCGGCACCUGGAGGGGGGAAACGGACGCGUCGGGUCUACACGGAGUGGAUGUAGCUGUGGGUUUGGCCCGGAUGUUGCUCCAAAGUGUUCCUCUGGGCCGACCUAACACAACCGGGUGGAGAGGUCCACUGGUCAAAGCCCGUCCGUGCAAAGUCAAAGGGCUAGAUCCCGUGGUCAAACGCUACAGGGUUAGCCGGGACGGGGGCCCUGGGGGGUAGCAAUGCCACCGGAGCGUCGUACCGGGCCCUCAUACAUGCGGGGUGGUGUUCUGGCAUGUCCGAAGAGGCGGCACGCGUCUNNNNNNNNNNNNNNNNNNNNNNNNNNNNNNNNNNNNNNNNNNNNNNNNNNNNNNNNNNNNNNNNNNNNNNNNNNNNNNNNNNNNNNNNNNNNNNNNNNNNNNNNNNNNNNNNNNNNNNNNNNNNNNNNNNNNNNNNNNNNNNNNNNNNNNNNNNNNNNNNNNNCGCCGGCACCUGGAGGGGGAAACUGACGCGUCGGGUCUACACGGAGUGGAUUUAGCUGUGGGUUUGGCCCGGAUGUUGCUCCCUGGUGUCCCUCUGAGCGGACCUGACACAACCGGGUGGAGAGAUCCACUGGUCAAAGCCCGUCCAUGUGAAGUCAAAGGGCUAGAUCUCGUGGUCAACCGCUCCAAAAAGGCCGCACACGUCUCCGGUGCGUGGCCCCCCUCACGGACGGCGCCGCCGCCGGCACCGGGAGGGGGGAACGGAUGCUUCGGGUCUACACGGAGUGGAUUUAGCUGUGGAUUUGGCUCGGAUGUUGCUCCGAGGUGUCCCUCUUGGCUGACCUGACACAACCUGUGGCCCCCCUCACGGUCGGCGAUGACACGGUAGUAGACGGAUCAGGCACUCGUAUAGUUAUCGGAUCAGGCACUCGGUAACGGUACCCCUCAGUCAGUUGCUCUCCUAUGUAUCACCUUUUGCGAGACCAUAGAAAAUAUUUAUAUCAUAAAGAAAUGUUGCUGACCAUAGAAGAAAUUUGGUUUAGAAAAAAAUAUAAAAAAUGAUCAUGUAAUUAUAAAUAAUGUUUCAAACCAUUAAAGAAAAUGUAUGGUAUAUUUUAAAUAAUGUUAAUGCAUGUCAAAAAUAUGUAUACCAUGUAUUAUUUUUAAUAUAAUUGUAUACCUUGUAUCAUUCAAAAAAAUUAAAAAACGUGUAUUUGAAAAUAUUUAAUAUGUACGUACAAAUAUUUUAUAUGUAUACGAAACUUUUCAAUGCGUAUGAAAAUAAUAUACACUAAAAAUAUAUUUGAAGAUAGUUAAUAAUAAUUUUUGAAAAAUGUUAAACAUGUAUAAAAGUUGUUGCAAAUAUAUAUAUACCGACGUGGCGCCUUCACCUAUGCCGACGGCUAAGCCGUCGGCAUAGAGCGCCUUAUCUUAUCCACUCGCGCGCGGCCACCCUUCUCCACUCGUUCUCUCCCACCCGCAGCUCCUCCACUCGCCGCCUCGACCCCGGCCGCGGACCGCCGCCCGUCGCCGCUCCUCGCCGCCCGCUCCACCCGCGCCGCUCCCCGCCGCUGCGCCCUUCCCCUUCCCUCGCCCCUUCCCGCCUCCAUCCCGACCCUCUCCGCCCCCUCCUCGCGGCGCCGCCGUCCACCCGACCCCGCCCCGGCCUCCCAACCCUACCCCGACCCCACAACGCCUCCGUCCACCCGUCCCGCGCCGACCCCGUCUCGCGCCGCCGCCGACAGCAGGGCUCCCAGCCCCUGGCUCGGCCUCCCGGAGCCCGCAGGCCGCCCCGAAGAGCACGCGUGGGCGCGGCUUCGGCCGGCCCUGCUCAUCCAUCAUCGUUCCCUCCCGCCCAAGUGAGCACCUCCCUCCACCGCCGGACGCCGCCGUGCCCCCUCCCAGCCCUAGUGAGCACCCCCCUCCCACAAACCAUUGUUGCCGUUGCUUGUGUUCAUGGUGGCUGGAUAAAUAGAUAGAUGCUAGAUAGAUGGAUGGAUGCUAGAUGAAUAGAUAGAUGGAUGCUAGAUGAAUAGAUAGAUGGAUGGAUACAUAAUAGAUAGUUUUGUGUAGUUUUAUUAGGUAUUUAGAUACAUACUAGAUAGUUUUUACUAAGUUUGUGAAUAUAGAUGAAUUAGAUGUUGGGCAAGUUUGUGAUAGAUGGAUGGAUAUUGGUCAAGAUAGUGUUUUGGUAAUGUUGAUUCAUAUAUAAGAAGCAAAUCAAGGCACAUGGUUUCUAAAAUACUUAAUAAAGAUUUUUUUUGCAAUUUGACCGAUUCAUAAUGUUGUGCCAAAUGGUUAAUGUGAUGUGAUGACCUAAUUUUUUUCACUCGGUGUAAUUAACAGGAUUUGUGGUGUUCCAUCUUCGUGGAGUGAUCGUCGACGUUGGAGGUGUUGGUCCACGAUCGUCCCUCUCCUUUGAUUGACUACAUCGGAGGGUGAGCAGCAAUUCCAUGACCUCGUGCACUUUUUUUCCAUGUCACUAGAUUGAAUUUUCACAUCAAGUCGCGUAACCUAGGUCUCCCGUCCAAAAGGGUUGCAUCGAUAAAUAUGCAUUCAAUUGCAUAUUUAUCACCGCAGCUUUUUCGGAUUGUCCAGCGCUUUCCACGGACAGCCCGAGGAUGUGUAGAUUGGGUAUGUUGUUCAUGCUCUACCCCGUUCCGAGAUAGGAUUUCGGCGGCGCCUCCCUGUUGUUCUCCGGAUGCACAUUAUCUCGGCAUUUUGCCGAGACGUGUAUUUGGAGAACAGCGGGGAGGUGCUGCCGAAAUUUUGUCUCGGAAUGGGGUAGAGCAUGGACCGUACUCAAUCUACACAUUCUCGGGUGAGAUUAGGGCCCAUCUUUACCUAUUAGAGAUGUAGGUGGAUUACUUGUCAACCUUGUAAAAAAUAAAAUAUUGAUGUGGGUAAUUUAAAUGAAUCCUUAAUUUUGUUGUGUGGCUUCCAAUAAAGCAGAGAUGGCAGAUAAUCAGUGGAUGUAUAGUGGGUUUUUCCGUCGGAAUCAAGUAACAACAGAGUGGGUCGAGAAAACUGAUGUGUUUUUGAAAGAGAUAUUCCGUAGACCAAUGAGGAUGGUGCCAGAAUGCCCGUGUGCCAGAUGUAAGAGACGUAUCCGCAGAGAUAAGAGUGAGAUGACUAAGCACCUUCGCACGCAUGGAUUUAUGCCCUACUUUAAUAUGCCGAUAAACUUUGCCCAGCGGGACCGUGGUAGAGAGGAUGUGAUACAACAACGCGUCGCUGGUUAUGAGGACGGUGGGGUUAGAGACAUGCUAGAUGAUGUCUUUGCUGCACAGCCGACACCUCCAUCACAUUCAGCAAAUGAACCGGAGGAGCCGGAGGAAACCGCAAAGGCCUUCCUGGAAAUCUUGGCCUCCUCAAAGAAACCUCUUUAUGAGGGUGGCAAGCUGUCUGUGCUGGAUGCCAUCUCGCAACUGAUGGCAGUCAAGGCUGAGUACGGUUGUAGCCGAGGUUGCUUCGAAGCAUUUCUGGGAGUAUGGGCUAACAGCCUACCUGAGGGCCAUGAACUGCCGAAAACCAUGUACGGUACGAAGAAAAUCAUGAAGGCGCUCUCCAUGGACUAUGAGAAAAUACAUGUUUGUCCAAAGAAUUGCCUUUUGUUUAGGCAUGAGUAUGCGGAUGACAAGUACUGUAGGAAGUGCGGUUCCUCUCGGUAUAUUGAGGUGGUCGAUAAGCAUGGUCAGAAGCAUCAGCUAAAAAUCCCUGUGAAGGUUCUUCGGUAUCUUGAUUUUAUAAAAAGACUGCAGCGCCUUUUCAUCACCGAGGAGUCUACCAAAAUGAUGAAGUGGCACAAGGAAGGGAAAAGGUACAAUCCAAAAAAAAUUGUACAUCCAUUAGGAGGUGAAGCAUGGAAGUCAUUCGAUAUAGAGUACCCGGAGGAAGCAGCCGAGGCUGGGAAUGUCCGAAUUGCUAUAACAGGUGAUGGUUUCAAUCCAUAUGGUAUGUCGUCUAAUCCAUACAACUGUUGGCCCAUAUUUGUUAUUCCGCUCAAUCUCCCUCCCGGCGCCAUAAUGCAAUGCAAGACCAUGUUCCCGUCGCUUAUAAUUCCGGGGCCUGAAUAUCCGAGGAAGAACUUGAGUGUGUUUAUGCAGCCGUUGGUGGAUGAUUUGCACCAUUCUUGGUACUUCCCGAGGUUGACAUACGACCGACAUCUACAGAAAAAUUUCUUGAUGAAAGUUUGGCUACAAUAUUGCGUGCAUGACUUUCCCGGUUAUGCCCUGUUCUGCGGAUGGUGUACAAGUGGAAAGAUGCCUUGCCCAGUGUGCAUGCAGGCCUUGAUUUUCAUUUGGCUGAAGAAGGGUGGAAAGUAUGUUGCAUUUGACCUGCAUCGGCAGUUCCUCCCUCCAGACCAUCCUGAUAGGGAAGACAAGAAGAACUUCACAAAAGGCAAAGUUGUCCAUGAAGUAAACGAGAUUCCAACAUUUUCUGGUGCGGAUGUGCUUGCUCAGCUGAAAGCUCUUAAGCCUGCCGGUGAAGGGAAAGGCAAAGGCAAAGGCAAAGGCAAAGGCAAAGCCACAGGCGAAGACGAGGGCGAGGGCAAAGGAAAAGGUAAAGGGAAAAAAAUUUGAAGGAUAUGGUGAGACGCACAACUGGACUCACAUUACCCCCUUCACGCAGCUUCCCUGUUUUAAGGACCUCAAACUUCCAUACAACAUAGACGUGAUGCACACCGAAAAGAAUGUCGCAGAGUCCCUUUUUCGCACGAUCCUCAACAUUUCUGAUAAGACAAAGGAUAAUGUUAAUGCUAGAGUUGAUCAACAGAAUAUUUUUGAUAGACCACAUCUACACAUGCAGCCUCCCACAGGCAGUCGAAAAUCUUGGUUCAAGCCAGAUGCUGACUUCGUACUUAAAAAGGAUCAUAAGAUGGAGGCAUUCAAGUGGCUGAAACACGUCGUGAAGUUCACUGAUGGUUAUGCGUCGAAUAUAAGUAAGGGGGUCAAUCUUUCAACGGGUAGAGUGACCGGGCUCAAGAGUCAUGACUAUCAUGUAUGGAUUGAGCGGAUUAUGCCGGUGAUGGUUUGGGGCUAUGUUCCCGAGCGUGUCUGGCGUGUGCUUGCGGAGUUAAGCCAUUUCUUCCGCACGCUUUGUGCUAAAGAAGUAUGUCCUGAGAAGAUAAAAGAAAUGCAUAAGAAGGUGCCGGAGUUGAUAUGCAAGCUAGAGGAGAUCUUCCCGCCAGGCUUCUUUACUCCGAUGACACAUCUCAUUUUGCACCUCCUGAACGAGGUAUUGUUGGGGGGCCCUGUGCAGAAUCGUUGGCAGUACGGCCCUGAGAGACAGAACAAGCAUCUGAGACAGAAAUGUGGAAACAAAGCUAAGAUUGAAGCUUCCAUAGCUGAGGCAAUUAUCCUAGAGGAGGUGGCAGACCUCAGGGCAGCCUACUAUCCGGACCAUGUUCCCACGUUGCACAAUAAGGUGUCUCAAUACAAUACAGAAGAACCCAAGUAUAAACCCAAGUUGCCUCUAUUCAUCGGGCAAGGUGGUAGGGCUGGAUGCUCGAAACCUUAUGUCAUGCCACGAGAUGAGUGGGAGGAUGUCAUGUUCUAUAUCUUGCACAACAUCAAGGAAGUUGAGGAUGAGUGGAUGAGGUAAUACCUUUGCACCAUUCUUUUAGUAAAUUCGUUAUGUUCACUUUGCCUAGUUCUUAUACCACUUUUCUUAUUGUAGUCAAUUCGUUGAAGAAGAAUGGACGGGAAUGCUGCCUCCUACUGAAGCGGAGGCACUUGCGCUUCUCCGAAAGGGUGCUGAUGGAAGGAAAAAUUUCGUUGCGUGGUUCAUGGAAAAAGUAUUUUUUCACAUUUUCAAUUAAACUCAUGCACCCUAUAAUUUCAAUUAAACUCAUGCACCCUAUAAUUUCAAUUAAACUUGUAGGGAAAUGAUCCGACCGAAUCAAUGGAUGAAGAAUUGAGAUGGGUUUCCAUGGGUUUUGACCCUGUCAUCAUGACAUGCGAAAAGUAUGAUGUGAAUGGGUAUCGCUUCCAUACAGAGGAGCACCAGAACAGUUGGCCUGAUCCCAAAACCAUAAAUACCGGAGUCUUCACUGAAGGAGAUAAUAAAGUAGAUUACUAUGGAAGGGUAGGAAAAAUAUACGAGCUUAGAUUCAAACUUGGCCGCAAACACCUAAGUCUCACUGUGUUCAAAUGCCGAUGGUUCGACCCCAAAAAGGGUCUGAGACAUACGCCUUCUGUUGGUUUAGUUGAAGUUAAACCAUCAACCGUCUAUGCCGGAGCUGAUCUCUUUAUCGCCGCUACCCAGGCCACACAAGUAUAUUAUCUGCCUUACCCAUGCCAGAAAGAGUACCUAAAGGGUUGGGAAGUUGUGUUCAAGGUGUCGCCGCAUGGUAAGCUACCGGACCCGAACGAUGAUGAUUACUACAACAUAAACCCCAUGACAUACGAGGGAGUGUUCUAUCAAGAGGAACAUGAUGACAUGGUCCGAAACAACGAGGAUGAUGACUUGGGUUAUGUUGACCUGGACCCAAACGACGACGACGCACGGAUUGAUGGUGAGGCAGUUGUGAAUCAAAGAGACAUAAUUAUGCUUGAAAAGUUAAAUGAAGACGCUGACGAUGAGGAAGAGCCUCCACCUCCGUCAGACAACGAAGAAGAUAUGCGUGAUAGUGAUGAUGAGACCGCUCCACAAAUAGAUUACAAUUGUGAUGAUUCAUAUGGGUUCUAGAAAAUGUAAGUUCUUUUAAUGAUCAUUACAAUAGUAUGCUUAAUGUGCUCUUCUGGUAUUAAUGUUUUUCCUGUAUGCUUGUUUAAUUGAUAUCCUUACUAAUUGUUUAUUCUCUUCUUAAUGCAGGUUUGCUAAUCAUGGGCAAGUCCAGCGGCGCCAGUUUCCUCAGUAAAUUUAAAGGACUUACUCGGAGUGGACGAGCCCACAAGGUUCCCUCCUGACUACGCGAGGAUGACACCUCACAGGGAGGUGGAGGGGUCGGGGGAGGAGACCCUAGAGGAGGAGGCGGUGGGGGAGAGCCCCUAGAGGAGGAGGAGGUGGGGGGAGAGGCAGCCGGGGCAAAAAACUCCGGGCCGUGUCCAAAAUAGGAGGAUCUUCUUCGAUGCCCUCCCAUACAGAGGCACCUUCUGAGUCUGAGGAGGAGGAGUAUGUUCCUGAUGGCGAGGAGGAGGAGGCCGAGGAGGAGGGUGAGGAGGAGGAGGCCGAGGAGGAGGGUGAGGAGGAGGAGGCCGAGGAGGAGGGUGAGGAGGAGGGCGAGGAGGGUGGAGGGGAGGUUGAUCCCGAGUUGUGGGGUGACUUGCCACCGGGUGCUCCGCAGGGGUGGCUGCGUGGUAAUGUCGGACUACCUACACCACCUUCUAUCGAGGAGCACAAGUGGCUCAUUGAACUUGUGGGGACAGAGUAAGUGCCUCUCAAUAAUAUUUUCAACACAUGACAACAUUUUCUUAUUGUACACAUGGCAAUCAUUUGAUUCUUUUGCAGAAACUGGAUCCUUAGCGGAAAGGGUCGUAAACCGAACGGCCUUAUCACUGUCCUGUUGAAGCAGUUUUGGCCUGGCCUAUUCUGCCCGCGGCCAGACAGGGACCCGCAGCUGUGGGUUUUGGCCACGAGCUGGGCCCACUACGAGGCUUGCAGCAACGCGGAGUACGGGACGGCCGCUAAGGCUGUGAUCACCAAAUUUUGGGUAAGUUCUCUUCUGAAUCACUUGUCUUCAGUUUCGUUCAUAGUUUAUCAUUGAAUCACUCAACCCAUGCCUUGUUUGCUUCUGGUUUAUGCAGCAACUCUAUAGAGUUCUUGACGAGCACAAGGCCAGAGCCGACGUGGUCUUACUUGCGGCUGCGAAGAAGAAAGCUCGUCAGUUGCAGUACGAGGUGCGCUGGGUUGCCGUCUCGCAGUACUACCACAUCUACCUGCACCAAAAGAUGACCAAAACUCAAGCGCAGAAGCAAAAACUUACCUUGAACAGGGAGCAGUUCAUGAUGGUAACUAUUACUGACUUUUCAUUGUUUCAAGCAGUCAACUCUAUGUUUUGUGCUCACAUGUCAUGCUUCCAAAAUUUGCAUAGGUUGUUCCUCGUUGGUGCUAUGGAAGGCAUGACGGAUGGGCGAGUUUGGUGGAUAGGUGGCUCGGCGCCGAUGCAGAGUUUGCUGCCAAGAGCAUCAAGGGCCGGGCUAACCGUGGAGCUGACGGGACACACGGCCAAGGAAAUAGGAAUCACUGGAGCUUCAAGGCCAUGAAGGUAUAUCUAUGUGCAUGAUGCAUUUUUGUUCUUCUUUACUGUCAUGUUCUUAUGUAUGGCUAACUUCUAUUUGACGUUGUAGGAGGACAAGUUGAAGAGGCCGCUCUCAGACAUGGAGUCGUGGAAGCUGGCCCGCGAGCGGAGUCAUCGCAAGGAGGGCGAGAGCCAGUACUACGGCAAGACCGAGGAGCACCUGGGGUCUUACAUUCAUCACUAUCAGGAGUUGCAUCCGGAUGUUCCUGUUGCUGAGGUCGCCUAGUCUUAGAUCGACGACACGGCGGUGGUGGCCAUCCAGGGGAAGAAGAAUGGCCGGUAUCCGUGUUUCGACGGCUUGAUCACUCCUUCGAUCUCGUACACACAGUUUCGGGCUACCAACCCGAGCCAGUUAGAGAGUAUGGGGCGUUCACAGACUCCCUUAGCCCGCCAGCAUGCUGUAAGUACUUUCUCUUUAUCUUUUUCUAUCUAGCAUUCUCAGUUUAUUUUCAGCAUUGCUCACUUAGAAACAAUCUAAAUUAUGUAGGCAUAUAAGGAGUUUGUCGAGCAUAGGAAUCUCGAGGUGCGGGAGUACUUGAAAUGAGUGAAGGUAAACGAAGAUUACAACCGUCAGAUGAUGACGGUUAGUUUUGCCCUCUUAAAACCAAGCUAAAUUUUUGCACUUUCAUUCCUUCUGAUCUUCUAGUUUGCUUGCUUAACUAACAUUCAGGCUAUGUUGGCGUCUUGGAGUAACCGCACGGAUCCACCACAAAUGGGACCCCCACCACCACCUGCAGGAGAACCCCCACACGUGCCAUGUUCGAUGAAUGGGUGGCACUAGGCAGUGAUGGUCCGGUUAGUACAUUUGCCUAACUACUGACAAACUAGUUCUCGUUCAUUCAACACUAUCAUAUCAUAUUUACCGUUAGAAUCUUUUAUGAAACAUGUAGGGGACCGGUGGCUCGACUCCUGCUCCGUCGACCCCAGUCACUCCGAUCUGGCAGAGUGGUGGUGGUCCCAAUGGCGGUUUUGGUGGAGGUGGUGGUGGUUUUGGCGGAGGUGGUGGUGGUUUUGGCGGAGGUGGUCUUGCUUGAUGAUUUCGUGCAUGUGGUCGUCGUGCCAUGCCUUUCAUAUUCCUACUUCUAUGAUGUUUCAUGUCUUGCACUACUUUUAUGUUCAUGAACUUGAGUCGGUGAUGAUCUUUAGAUGAUGUGAUGAACUUGAGUAUGUUUAGAUGAUGAUGGUGAACUUGAGUAUGUUUAGAUGAUGAACUGUCAUAUUUCUGCAUAAUUUCAUAUUGUUCUGUUUUGAAAUGCUGUCAAAUGAAUUGGAAAAGAGAAAACAGGGAAAAUAAAAAAAACUAUGCCUACGGCAAAGCCGUCGACAUAUAUAGAGGAGUCACCAGGGCUCGCCACGUGGCAUAUCUAUGCCGACGGCUUUGUCGUAGGCAUAGAUGGAAAUCUAUGCCGAUAGAUGGAAAUCUAUGCCGACGGCAAAGCCGUAGGCAUAUCUCUGCUUCCACGAGUAACCAGGAGACGACACGUGGCAGAGCUAUGCCUACGGCAAAGCUGUCGGCAUAGAUUCAUCUAUGCCGACGGCUUUGCCGUAGGCAUAGCCCUACCACCAGGAGUACCACGGGUUGCCAUGUGGCAGAGAUAUGCCGACGGCUUUGCCGUCGGCAUACAUCUGCCACAUGGCAUUGCAUGAUUCGUCCGCGCUUUUGACGGCUGUUGGGGAACGUAGUAAUUUCAAAAUUUUCCUACGCACACGCAAGAUCAUGGUGAUGGCAUAGCAACGAGAGGGGACAGUGUUGUCCACGUACCCUCAUAGACCGUAAGCGGAAGCGUUAUGACAACGCGGUUGAUGUAGUCGUACGUCUUCACGAAUCGACCGAUCCAAGCACCGAACGUACGGCACCUCCGUGUUCAGCACACGUCCAGCUCGAUGACGUCCCCCGGACUCCAAUCCAGCAAAGCAUCGGGGAUGAGUUCCGUCAGCACGACGGUGUGGUGACGAUGAUGAUGUUCUACCGGUGCAGGGCUUCGCCUAAACUCCGCGACGAUAUGAUCGAGGUGGAAUAUGAUGGAGGGGGGCACCGCACAUGGCUAAGGAACGAUCCGUAGAUCAACUUGUGUGUCAUGGGGUGCCCCCCUGCCCCCGUAUAUAAAGGAGCAAGGGGAGGGGGCCGGCCAAGAGGAGGAGGCGCGCCAGUAGGAUUCUCCCCUCUUUCCAAGUCCUACUAGGAGAAGGGAAGGAAGGGGAGGAGAAGGAGAAGGAAGGAGAGGGAGGAGGAGAAGGAAAGGGGGGCCGGCCCCCUAGUCCAAUUCGGUUUGGGCUAGGGGGGCCGCGCGCCCUACCUCCUCUAUUCCACCACUUGGCCCAUGAGGCCCAUUGCUUCUUCCUCGUAUUCCCGUAACUCCCCGGUACCCCCGAAAAUACCCGAAUCACUCGGAACCUUUCUGAACUUCGAAUAUAGUCAUCCAAUAUAUCGAUCUUUACGUCUCGACCAUUUCGAGACUCCUCGUCAUGUCCCCGAUCUCAUCCGGGACUCCGAACUCCUUCGGUACAUCAAAACUCAUAAACUCAUAAUAAAAUUGGCAUCGUAACGUUAAGCGUGCGGACCCUACGGGUUCGAGAACUAUGUAGACAUGACCUAGAACUAUUCUCGGUCAAUAACCAAUAGCAGAACCUGGAUGUUCAUAUUGGUUCCCACAUAUUCUACGAAGAUCUUAAUCGGUCAAACCGCAUAACAACAUACGUUGUUCCCUUUGUCAUCGGUAUGUUACUUGCCCAAGAUUCGAUCGUCGGUAUCUCAAUACCUAGUUCAAUCUCGUUACCGGGAAGUCUCUUUACUCGUUACAUAAUGCGUCAUUCCGUAACUAACUCAUUAGCUACAUUGCUUGCAAGGCUUAUAGUGAUGUGCAUUACCGAGAGGGCCCAGAGAUACCUCUCCGACAAUCGAAGUGACAAAACCUAAUCUCGAAAUACGCCAACCCAACAUGUACCUUUGGAGACACCUGUAGUACUCCUUUAUAAUCACCCAGUUACGUUGUGACGUUUGGUAGCACCCAAAGUGUUCCUCCGGUAAACGGGAGUUGCAUAAUCUCAUAGUUACAGGAACAUGUAUAAGUCAUGAAGAAAGCAAUAGCAACAUACUAAACGAUCAAGUGCUAAGCUAACGGAAUGGGUCAAGUCAAUCACAUCAUUCUCCUAAUGAUGUGAUCCCGUUAAUCAAAUGACAACUCAUGUCUAUGGCUAGGAAACUUAACCAUCUUUGAUUCACGAGCUAGUCAAGUAGAGGCAUACUAGUGACACUAUGUUUGUCUAUGUAUUCACACAUGUAUUAUGUUUCCGGUUAAUACAAUUCUAGCAUGAAUAAUAAACAUUUAUCAUGAAAUAAGGAAAUAAAUAAUAACUUUAUUAUUGCCUCUAGGGCAUAUUUCCUUCAACGGUGCCGUCCGUGGCCGUCAGACGAAAGACAUUGCCGACGGCUAUACUAUGCCGACGGCUGACGGCAGGCCGUCGGCAUAGGCCCCUAUGCCGACGGCUAUACUAUGCCGACGGUCUGACAAGACUACGCUGACGACAUCUACGCCGACGGGUCUAUGCCGACGGCAGCCGUAGGCAUAGAUCUAUGCCGACGGCUUAGGGGCCUAUGCCGACGGCCCGUGGCCGUAGGCAUAGACCGUGAGUCCGGUAGUGUAAUGGCAUCUCACUCACUUCCAGCCUCACCAGGCAUCUCACUCACUUCCAGGCUGGGUACGAGUUGUCCCGCCUAUUGUUCCUGAAAGCAUAGCACCCAACAGAGUAGACGAUGAUGAGAAAUAUGAUGUUGAUGGUGGCGAUCUUCUUACAGUCGUUCUUCAGGUUGGCUAGCAUGCCGGCCUUACAUGACUGGCAGUCGUAGCAGAGGGCCCUCUGAUCAUUCAACCACGUGUUGCAGUUGGGGUCAUUGGUAGAGUUGAGGCCAUGAGGUUUAAUUGAGACGGUCUGGCUCCGGUAAGUGAAGUUGCACCCAGUUGGGGGCUUGUAGCAUCCAGACAGAACACAAGAUAGGUGUGUGUUAGUUGCAGAAAACGCAACUUACUUAGUAAUUCAGCAUAGCAUUGACGAAAACACAGGUCAAAGCCAAAUGUCAAGAAGUCACACUGACGAUGUAGGCAAGGCGGGGGUACCAAAUGCGAUAGACGAACCUCAACAGCUAGAAUGACCAGCAGGAAAUUCGCCAUCGACAUCGGCACAGAUAAUACCCUCAGGAUAGGGAGACUAGAUGGGACCUUAUCAGCCGGGCCGGCAACACUCCCACCACCAACGAUGCGUGGCCGAAGAAGACUUUAUUGAGAGCUGCCACCAUCGUUGCCGGAAAGGCCAAAGCGGCCGACGUAAAAAAACUUGCCUAAAGACUCAAAUAAAAAAGGGUUGGAGAGUGACAGUAGGGGAAGAGAAGCAAUUUGCUCCAUGAUUGUUUUUAAAUAUUUAUUUUUUAUAUUAAUGAAAAUCUAUUUUGAAAUAUAUGGUAUUUUUAAUAGAUAUUAUAAUUAAUAAUAAUUUUGUGAUAAAAAAGUUUUGUAACAUAAAGAACAAAAUUUCAAGGUUGGCCUGAACAUUUCAGUUAGUCAAUGAAUGUGGACUCUCUUUCAGUCAAGGUUGCUAUUAUAUUGUCAUCAUUGCACUAAACAUCUUCAGACAAUCAGUACUGGGGACUUCUAUUAUGACACAUGAUACUCUUUAGUUGUUGAUAUUGUUUCACAACAUCAUUCAACCAUUGAUCUUCUCAUUGAAAUGUAUUCUGUAGAGAACAAGAGAUGAUAUAUUGGCUUCGAAAGAUCUUGACAGAACCUAAUGUAGGUGAUGAAAUUAAUUUCUUGUAUGCUCUAGCUUCAAUCUAAACAUCUAGCCGAAUACAACAAUCUCAACUUGUUGGAGGAGUGGAUGUACAAUCUCAACAAGACUCGUAUAGUUCAUUUUUUAAAAGUGUAUAGCAAGGUAAGUCAAUAAUAACUCAUCUUUAGUUCUACACUUACACUCCAUCUACCACGUCGUUGAGUUGUUGUCGCAUUUACUUCGUCCUACCUCCCAUCUAGUGCAUGUACAUAUAUAUAUAGGUCCGAUGUGGUGUACACAAGAAGCAAACCACCAUGAAAAGUNNNNNNNNNNNNNNNNNNNNNNNNNNNNNNNNNNNNNNNNNNNNNNNNNNNNNNNNNNNNNNNNNNNNNNNNNNNNNNNNNNNNNNNNNNNNNNNNNNNNNNNNNNNNNNNNNNNNNNNNNNNNNNNNNNNNNNNNNNNNNNNNNNNNNNNNNNNNNNNNNNNNNNNNNNNNNNNNNNNNNNNNNNNNNNNNNNNNNNNNNNNNNNNNNNNNNNNNNNNNNNNNNNNNNNNNNNNNNNNNNNNNNNNNNNNUGAAGUCGUGUUCCGAUGAAAUACGGAGCGCACACAUUAGAUUUGGAAGGCAUUAGGAAAAGAACAACUUGUGAGUGCUGGACUAGUUGUGAUGCACCUAGUCUGCAACAUUGGCCCUAGGUGAAAACUUGAUCCUAAAUACGAUGGGGCUAAUAUUCCCAGAAAAAGGGAGUAAUUCACUUGCUACAUUGGCAUGCAGUAAAUCUGGGUCUAACUGACUCACCGGGUACUUGAGAAAAGGAGACAGAGUUACCAGGUGGAUGUUCCUCUGAGAAAAGUAAGACAUGGUCUCCAUGAUGGUCAGGGAAACCGCCAGAUUCAACCUUGCCAUGUGCAAAGCGGUGAAGAAUAUACUUCAGGAUUUUCUCUUGUUCUUCAUGGAGGUCCGAUCAGUGUACAAUGCUAGCGAGGUAGCUACACGCUUUCUAGAGCAGCUGAAACUCAAGUACAAUGUUAAUUUGUUCUCCCAAAAACAUGCAACUUUUAACAGUCUAUAAUAAGGGCCACAUGUAGUACUAUGUAAAAAAAUCUUGGGCAGAAACCUCAGCUUGGGUUGACUGCCAUGUUAGUAGACCAAGACGUACUAGAAACUUGAGCCAUUGAAAACUUUGAGGUGCAUAUGACACAUGGUUCAUAGGUGAAGAGCAAGGUUAAAAAACAUCAGGGUGUACAUUCAUAAGCCAUCUUUGAUGCAGUGAGACAAAAUUACCAUAGAUGCAAAUCAAAGCAAGCGCAUAUGGCAGCAAAAUGAGUGCAGCUUCUCUGUUUGUACAUUCUGAAGGAUCCAAUAAAGUCGACUAUGGUCUCUGGGGUUCCUAGUUAAGAAUCCAUGGAAGAUCAACAAUGCAUUUCCAGACAGAAGCAAUAGACUGACUCUAUGCUAUGCAAAGAACAGAAAAGAUCACAGACAACUUCUGAACAUAUCUCAUAUCAUGAUAACAGGAACCUCCAUAAACGAUAUAUUUGAGGUCGGCAUAGCAAAUAUAGCAAGCAUGCACCAUUACCAACUAUCGACAGUUCAAACAUCAUCAGCGCUAUAGCAUAGACGAUAGUGUUGCUUGACACACAACCAUGAGCCAACCAUUAACACUGAACAUCAUCCUAAUUACCUAAGCCAAGCCCCUCCAGGCAUCUCACUCACUUCCAGGCUGGGUACGAGUUGUCCCGCCUGUUGUUCCUGAAAGCGCAGCACCCAACAGAGUAGACAAUGAUGAGGAAAAUGAGGAAUAUGAUGUUGACGGUGGCGAUUUUCUUCCAGUCAUUCUUCACAUUAGCGAGCACGCCAGCCUUGCAUGACUGGCAGUCA